AAAUUGAAGAGUUUGAUCAUGGCUCAGAUUGAACGCUGGCGGCAGGCCUAACACAUGCAAGUCGAACGGUAACAGGAAGCAGCUUGCUGCUUUGCUGACGAGUGGCGGACGGGUGAGUAAUGUCUGGGAAACUGCCUGAUGGAGGGGGAUAACUACUGGAAACGGUAGCUAAUACCGCAUAACGUCGCAAGACCAAAGAGGGGGACCUUCGGGCCUCUUGCCAUCGGAUGUGCCCAGAUGGGAUUAGCUAGUAGGUGGGGUAACGGCUCACCUAGGCGACGAUCCCUAGCUGGUCUGAGAGGAUGACCAGCCACACUGGAACUGAGACACGGUCCAGACUCCUACGGGAGGCAGCAGUGGGGAAUAUUGCACAAUGGGCGCAAGCCUGAUGCAGCCAUGCCGCGUGUAUGAAGAAGGCCUUCGGGUUGUAAAGUACUUUCAGCGGGGAGGAAGGGAGUAAAGUUAAUACCUUUGCUCAUUGACGUUACCCGCAGAAGAAGCACCGGCUAACUCCGUGCCAGCAGCCGCGGUAAUACGGAGGGUGCAAGCGUUAAUCGGAAUUACUGGGCGUAAAGCGCACGCAGGCGGUUUGUUAAGUCAGAUGUGAAAUCCCCGGGCUCAACCUGGGAACUGCAUCUGAUACUGGCAAGCUUGAGUCUCGUAGAGGGGGGUAGAAUUCCAGGUGUAGCGGUGAAAUGCGUAGAGAUCUGGAGGAAUACCGGUGGCGAAGGCGGCCCC
This 738-nucleotide ribosomal RNA is filed under the name Escherichia coli. RNAcentral's name for it is "bacterial SSU rRNA". It matches the Rfam family "Bacterial small subunit ribosomal RNA", at positions 1 to 728 of the family's 1533-position model. Lineage: Bacteria; Pseudomonadati; Pseudomonadota; Gammaproteobacteria; Enterobacterales; Enterobacteriaceae. The record is from RNAcentral.